This is a long non-coding RNA of Girardinichthys multiradiatus, 1391 nucleotides long. RefSeq lists it as uncharacterized. The record is from RefSeq and is a predicted model, not a curated record. NCBI's taxonomy places the organism in Eukaryota, Metazoa, Chordata, Actinopteri, Cyprinodontiformes, Goodeidae. The transcript has 4 exons.
CCUUGUUGCCAGGAAAAGCUAAAAAAAACUCAAGAGCAACUAAAAAAUAUUAAGGACCACCAUGGCUGGAGCGGGUCAAACUGAAAGCUGCGGCAGUGGUUUGAAAUCAUGGACGCCAUUUAAUCAUCACAAGACCAGCGGGUGGUCUGGACUCUGCAAUCUGACAGUUUUAAUAUGACAUGAUGUGAACAGUCACUGAUUAUUUUACUUUGCACAGCAGAUGACGCUGAGGGCCGGGGGUCAAGCCACAUCUCCAGGGGUCAAUGGAAACAUCGGCUUUGUGCCGAGUAGAGUGAGGCAGAGCGGUGUGGAGCUGUGUGGUGCUGGAGCCAUGAGUGGAAAUAAGGAGUCCUGGAAUCUGGAGGGUGACAGGUGCAGACCAGGUCAUCAGCCAUGGUGCUAUAAGAAGGAGGACUGCCAGCACUUCAGCGGCUGACUGUUUUGCCCCCUGUGGUAUUGCUCUACGCAUGGUUACCUUGGUUUCGAAGAAUCUUUGGAAAGUCCCUCGAAUCGUGAACCUCACCGGACAUCUUACCUUGGUUGCAGCCCGACCGGAUCAGAGUACCGUUUCAGUUACGAACCUUGUCCACCCUCCUCGAAGGAUUACCUCCCUGGCUCCUGUCGGCACCUCACUCUGGAUCAGCAUCAAGCUUCCUGUCAUCAGUGGACGAACUCUUAUGCUGCAACAACCAGAAGCUUCCUGCAGUCAAACAGGAGUCAUAUCCAAGCAUCAGAGCAACCAUCCUGCAGCUGAGCACAUGAUCUCCCACUUAUUGUGUCCAGAUGUCUCCUACAUCACAUGACCCUUUGGUGUAAAGCUGAAUGUAAAUAUGUUCCUGCAGAGUAAAUCAUGUAUUUUAUCCCCUGUGGGGUCCAGUACUCACCUUGGGUCCUGAUGUAGCAGCCGUAGGAGAACAGAGUGUGUCCAGGAGGGAACGCUGUGUCUGAUAACUGUUCUAAAUUUAACAGAAACACACACUGUUGGUCAUGCAGCGUCCUUAUCUUUUCUCUCACUGCAGGCCAUGGCCAUACAAGGCUCUGCAGGGCCCCGGGCCAUCCAGCAACUCCUGGUCCCAGCGUCACAUGGGGGAAGAUAACCGCCGGCACCUUAUAGCAGUCUGGUGACGCCAAUGUCCCACAAGGAGGCAGGAUUCCUGGGCUCAUUGUCCCCUUCACCCACCGCCCAUAUGACAGCUUUCACAGCAGUGAUUUUCCACAGUGACAAGGUGACAUUCAAAGAUCUGGAGACCAACAGAUCCUGGAGACAGAAGUUGCUCAUUUAUUUCAUGAACACAGGAUAUAAACAAAGGAAAACACAUAAAAACAGAUGGAUGAGUCAGCUGCAGUUAAUGUCAUCACAAGAGUUCACCUACAGAACUUCAUAUGAAGAC